This 226-nucleotide ribosomal RNA is filed under the name uncultured bacterium. Its description in RNAcentral is "partial 16S ribosomal RNA". It matches the Rfam family "Bacterial small subunit ribosomal RNA", at positions 109 to 334 of the family's 1533-position model. The record is from RNAcentral.
AGUAACGCGUAAAGAACUUGCCUCACAGUUAGGGACAGUAUUUGGAAACGAAUGCUAAUACCUAAUAUUAUGAUAAUAGGGCAUCCUAUAAUUAUGAAAGCUAUAAGCGCUGUGAGAGAGCUUUGCGUCCCAUUAGCUAGUUGGAGAGGUAACGGCUCACCAAGGCGAUGAUGGGUAGCCGGCCUGAGAGGGUGAUCGGCCACAAGGGGACUGAGACACGGCCCUU